Molecule: ribosomal RNA, 253 nt
Filed under: uncultured bacterium
Lineage: Bacteria
Description: partial 16S ribosomal RNA
Rfam family: Bacterial small subunit ribosomal RNA
Source: RNAcentral
UACGUAGGGGGCUAGCGUUGUCCGGAUUUAUUGGGCGUAAAGAGCGUGUAGGCGGCCAGGUAGGUCUGCUGUGAAAACUCGAGGCUCAACCUCGAGACGUCGGCGGAAACCAUCUGGCUAGAGUCCGGAAGAGGAGAGUGGAAUUCCUGGUGUAGCGGUGAAAUGCGCAGAUAUCAGGAAGAACACCAGUGGCGAAGGCGGCUUUCUGGACGAUAACUGACGCUGAGACGCGAAAGCGUGGGGAGCAAACAGG